AAUCAACGCUGGCGGCGUGCCUAACACAUGCAAGUCGAACGCUCCGCAAGGGGAGUGGCGAACGGGUGAGUAACGCGUGGGAACCUGCCCAGUAGUUGGGGAUAACCGCGGGAAACUGCGGCUAAUACCGAAUACGCCCUAAGGGGAAAGGAUUUAUCGCUAUUGGAGGGGCCCGGCGUCGGAUUAGCUGGUUGGUGAGGUAACGGCUCACCAAGGCGACGAUCCGUAGCUGGUCUGAGAGGAUGAUCAGCCACACUGGGACUUAGACACGGCCCAGACUCCUACGGGAGGCAGCAGUGGGGAAUAUUGGACAAUGGGGGCAACCCUCGAUCCAGCAAUGCCGCGUGAGUGAUGAA
RNAcentral lists this ribosomal RNA (356 nucleotides) under uncultured bacterium. RNAcentral's name for it is "bacterial SSU rRNA". It matches the Rfam family "Bacterial small subunit ribosomal RNA", at positions 32 to 412 of the family's 1533-position model. The record is from RNAcentral.